GCUGGCGGCGUGCUUAACACAUGCAAGUCCAUCGAAGCACUCUAUUUGAUUUUCUUCGGAAAUGAAGAUUUUGUGACUGAGUGGCGGACGGGCGAGUAACGCGUGGGUAACCUGCCUCAUACAGGGGGAUAACAGUUGGAAACGACUGCUAAUACCGCAUAAGCGCACAGGAUUGCAUGAUCCGGUGUGAAAAACUCCGGUGGUAUGGGAUGGACCCGCGUCUGAUUAGCCAGUUGGCAGGGUAACGGCCUACCAAAGCGACGAUCAGUAGCCGACCUGAGAGGGUGACCGGCCACAUUGGGACUGAGACACGGCCCAAACUCCUACGGGAGGCAGCAGUGGGGAAUAUUGCACAAUGGGGGAAACCCUGAUGCAGCGACGCCGCGUGAGCGAAGAAGUAUUUCGGUAUGUAAAGCUCUAUCAGCAGGGAAGAAGAAUGACGGUACCUGACUAAGAAGCACCGGCUAAAUACGUGCCAGCAGCCGCGGUAAUACGUAUGGUGCAAGCGUUAUCCGGAUUUACUGGGUGUAAAGGGAGCGCAGGCGGUGCGGCAAGUCUGAUGUGAAAGCCCGGGGCUCAACCCCGGUACUGCAUUGGAAACUGUCGUACUAGAGUGUCGGAGGGGUAAGUGGAAUUCCUAGUGUAGCGGUGAAAUGCGUAGAUAUUAGGAGGAACACCAGUGGCGAAGGCGGCUUACUGGACGAUAACUGACGCUGAGGCUCGAAAGCGUG
Molecule: ribosomal RNA, 731 nt
Filed under: uncultured organism
Description: SSU rRNA
Rfam family: Bacterial small subunit ribosomal RNA
Source: RNAcentral